This 406-nucleotide ribosomal RNA is filed under the name Pseudomonas sp. BJa3. RNAcentral's name for it is "bacterial SSU rRNA". It matches the Rfam family "Bacterial small subunit ribosomal RNA", at positions 1128 to 1533 of the family's 1533-position model. Lineage: Bacteria; Pseudomonadati; Pseudomonadota; Gammaproteobacteria; Pseudomonadales; Pseudomonadaceae. The record is from RNAcentral.
AUGGUGGGCACUCUAAGGAGACUGCCGGUGACAAACCGGAGGAAGGUGGGGAUGACGUCAAGUCAUCAUGGCCCUUACGGCCUGGGCUACACACGUGCUACAAUGGUCGGUACAGAGGGUUGCCAAGCCGCGAGGUGGAGCUAAUCUCACAAAACCGAUCGUAGUCCGGAUCGCAGUCUGCAACUCGACUGCGUGAAGUCGGAAUCGCUAGUAAUCGCAAAUCAGAAUGUUGCGGUGAAUACGUUCCCGGGCCUUGUACACACCGCCCGUCACACCAUGGGAGUGGGUUGCACCAGAAGUAGCUAGUCUAACCUUCGGGAGGACGGUUACCACGGUGUGAUUCAUGACUGGGGUGAAGUCGUAACAAGGUAGCCGUAGGGGAACCUGCGGCUGGAUCACCUCCUUA